UUGCUCUGCAGGGAGUGGAGGAACCUCCAGUGAGGUUCUCCAGCUGUGUCCUGAAUAUCUUCCAGUGGUAGGAGGUCUGCAGCUGCAUCUUGGCCAUCAGGAUCGUCAGGAGAAGAGGAGGAAGGAGGAGAUUGGUGUGAAAAGAUUAUGUGGUCAGGGAAAAGAGAUUGUUGCAGAAAGAGUAUGUCUCUCCCUCUUCAGAGAAUGGAUGUUUCCCUCCCCCUUGAUCCAGCAGCCUUCAGACACCAACCACUGAAAAUAUCUGUGAUCGUUAAACAGAACACAUUGUUCCAGUUGCCAGUUAUCCGGGACUGAAAAGUUGAAGAGAGGCACACUCUGGCCUCUGCCAACAGCCAGAGGACCUCAGAGGACCACUGAAAGACUACACCUCCUGCCACAGAGGAACAGCAUCAUGACAAGGGGGAGACCAACCUGGUCCCAUCCAGUGGCUAGUGAAGAAGCAGCUGUUGCAAUGCUGGCUUUCCUUUUCCAUCCCUGUUUCUUUUUCCUUUUGUGUCGUGUCUACUAGAUUGCAAACCUGUGGGCAGAGACUGUCUUGUCUUUUAAUAUACAGUAGGGCCCCACUCAUACGGCAGGUUCUGUUCAGGAUUGCCACUAUAAAGUGAAAUCCGCCGUAAAGCAGAACACAUUGACUAACAUAGUCUAAAAUGGUGCCCGGCGCCCGAAAAAUACUGUAAAAGUGGGGAAAGCGCCAUAGGAGGUGGGGCCACAACCGCUGUAUCGGUGGAAUGCCUGGAGCGCUUCAAAGCGGGGCCCUACUGUAUGUACACUGCUUAGAAAAUUUUUGACACUCUAAGUGCUAAUA
Molecule: long non-coding RNA, 826 nt
Organism: Rhineura floridana
Lineage: Eukaryota; Metazoa; Chordata; Lepidosauria; Squamata; Rhineuridae
Exons: 3
Source: RefSeq, a predicted model, not a curated record